Long non-coding RNA from Sinocyclocheilus grahami, 282 nucleotides. RefSeq lists it as uncharacterized. The record is from RefSeq and is a predicted model, not a curated record. The transcript is spliced from 3 exons. Lineage: Eukaryota; Metazoa; Chordata; Actinopteri; Cypriniformes; Cyprinidae.
CAAAAAUCUAACUUCAAGUGCCGGGGCAGGAGGACUAACACGAUAAAUCUGAGAGACUGUAAGAGUCCAUUGGCUGAGAACUGUACUGUAGGCCGGCAUACAGAACACCUCCAUCUAACUGGACGUGUCUUUCAGAGUCUCUUGGGUCCUCCUGUCCCAGGGAUUUUUGAGGGAAGAGCCAUGAUUAAAAGAUUGCUACUUAGAUUCAGAAGGUUGUUGGAGCCGGGGCCGUGGAUAAGCCGAGAUGAAUAUGGCAACAUGGAGAUUAUUAAUUUGUGUAAU